CGGGUGAGUAAUGCGUGACCAACCUGCCCCAUGCUCCAGAAUAGCUCUUGGAAACGGGUGGUAAUGCUGGAUGCUCCAACUUGACGCAUGUCUUGUUGGGAAAGUGUUUAGUGGCAUGGGAUGGGGUCGCGUCCUAUCAGCUUGUAGGCGGGGUAAUGGCCCACCUAGGCUUCGACGGGUAGCCGGCCUGAGAGGGCGGACGGCCACAUUGGGACUGAGAUACGGCCCCCAGACUCCUACGGGAGGCAGCAGCC
RNAcentral lists this ribosomal RNA (254 nucleotides) under uncultured Gardnerella sp. RNAcentral describes it as "partial 16S ribosomal RNA". It matches the Rfam family "Bacterial small subunit ribosomal RNA", at positions 103 to 355 of the family's 1533-position model. The record is from RNAcentral. Lineage: Bacteria; Bacillati; Actinomycetota; Actinomycetes; Bifidobacteriales; Bifidobacteriaceae.